GCUGCCUGGCACAGAGGCGGGGGAAGAGGGUGGGGGUCAUGGAAUUCUCUCAACUGGGUUGCAGGUGGGUUAAUGUGCCUACGUUACCUCUUUCUAGAACGUUCUUUUAAAAAGCCCCCUGUGGGUAGCCCAUUCUUGUGCCUCUGAGUUCAUCCUGCAGACAUUCUCUGGGGCGCUACCAUUUGUCUAUGUACAGGUUUUAGUUGUGUCUUCUGUGGUUUUAACCAGCUCAAGAAGGUCUAGAGCACCCCCAAAGUGAGCCCAGCCACAAAGAGGCUAUGAAACUUAGACACACAAGAACACUAGCAGGAGGGACCCAUAGGCACACCCUCUGUCUUGUCACUGUGGUCUCAGGCAAUGCUUUGGGAAAGCACCUCAGGGCUCAGAGGUUUGACAGGUUGCAUGAAGUCAUCCGUCCAAGUCCCCCCUCCAUCCAUUCUUUUGCACCCCCACCACUGACACCCCACCCCACCCUCACGCACUACUAAAGCCAAAGGCAAGGGAAUCAUUAAAUAAACAGCGUACUGUUGGGACGUCCCAGUGACCAGUGACCCCUGUUGCGUGCUACCUGUUGAGCCCCAGUGUGGUAGGUGUGGAAACGUUAUUCACAUUUAUUUAAGGAUGAGACAACUUUAUACCCAAUUACCUGGGAAACAGAAACCUAGGAAAGGAGAGCCCAACGUCAACUUCCUGAAACUUAGAGGCUACUACGAAGCACUGUCAUUUGAUGGGAGGAGCUCCGGGACAGAGCGCUUGCCCGACACACGGGAAGCACCGGGUUCGUUCCCUAGAAUCCCCCCUCCCCGAUAUCACUUGGGGGAGCCAUCCCUUGAGUAAACAAAAGGCAGGAAGUGGAUAUUCUCAUUAUUAUUCCACGAUUCCUAGAGAACACAGAACUUUAAUAGAUGUGGGUUCCGGUUGUGGAGUAUAUGUUCUAUGAUAAUGACGGAAGGGAGGCUGCAGAGCCCCUGGGGCCGAGUGAGCCUUCUAGAAUGCCUUCUGAGUUUUCAGCACGUGGGGAGCGGUGAGUAGAUCACCCUGACAGCAGUGAGGCGAUGUGGUGCUCUCUACGGCUGAUCUGCAUCUCGAUCUGUUAUGGCGUUUGGUCUGGUUUGCUUUGUGUGAUCCCAAUGUGCACAGUGUGAUGGGCGGUGUGGGUUUAAGAUUUAUGAGUGGUUUGUUGCAUGGCAGGCAUCUCUGCUCUCUGCAUGUCUGCAGCUUUACACACACACACACACACACACACACACACACACACACAGCCCGAGAGGAUCAGAGUGGGAGGGCCGCCCUUCCUCACUGUGUCUUGUGCACAUGUCUCUCUCUGCGGUCACUUCUGAAUCACUUGCACUGUUUAGGAGAUGCCAGGUUUACAGAAAUAAGUGUUUAGAAUAAAAUAAACAAAAAUGGCUUCAAAUGAUACCAUAA
RNAcentral lists this long non-coding RNA (1428 nucleotides) under Rattus norvegicus (Norway rat). RNAcentral's name for it is "long non-coding RNA NONRATT028143". The record is from RNAcentral. Lineage: Eukaryota; Metazoa; Chordata; Mammalia; Rodentia; Muridae.